GCAAUUUUGGUGGAAGACUCAAGGUAUUUGCAAGGUCAAAAGUGGGGAACGGAGGGGGAGGCAGCCCACUAGCCCAGGCUCGAUACAUUUCCAUUACUUAUUGUCUUAGUCUCCAAUUCUCUUCCUUUAAACUCUCAAUUUCUUGACUCUUUGUUUGAUCCAUGAUGUCACUCGCUAUAUCCUUGUUGGACACAACUAACCUUUUGGAGUUGGUGUGAUGUGGAGGACCAGCCAGAAUUCCACAAACCAACCAUCAUAAACAAACUGAACAAGAGAUAGCAAAUGCGUUAGAGUUCAACACUUUUUCAAAACUCUUUUUUCCUUUUUUUUAUAAGAUCACCGAACCCGAGAAGGGCGCUUGCAUAUCUCACCCCGAAAGAGGAGAAUCAGGUGUGCGUAGUUCGUGAAGUCUUGCCAAAAUGGCCAAUUAAACUCUUUUUUCUAUUCCUUGAAACUUUAAGAAGAAAAGAAAAUAACAAUUUGUCAAAAGAAUUGACGAAAAUCUUUUUGAAUUUUUUUCAAUUUUAACAUCCCUAUACAAAAUGAAAUCUAAGAUUACCAAAGAAAGAUCUUUUUAUUUUUUUUGCAUUUCAUACGAAAAUGAAACUUGAACCUAUUAAGGAAAAUCUUUUUUGUAGUUUUCUCUUAAAGAUGUAUAUGAAACACCUACCCUAAAGGAAAAGUGAAGAAAAUCUUUUUGGAUCUUUCAUAUUCCUAUACGAAAUGAAACCAAUGAUUACCAAAGAAAAUCUUUUUGGGUUUUCAAUUUUGAAUUUCAUAUGAAAAUGAAAAUUGAAACUAUCAAAGAAAGAUCUUUUUGCAGUUUUCUAUUAACGAAGUAUAUGACACCUACUCUAAAUAAAGAGUGAAGAAAAUCUUUUUGGAUUUUUGAAAUAAGAUCCCCAAACCAACAAUAGGCUGCCUGCGUAUCUCACUCCCGGGAGAGGAGAAUCAGGGGUGCGUAGUUCGUCCAGAUUGGACAAUUAAGGAUUAAAACGAACUAAGACUUGACUUGAGAGACGUAACUAUAGACAGACGAUGAGAAAUAAAAUCUUUUUGGAUUUUCAAUUAGAUGCUUCACACAAAACUGACACCAACAACUAUGAAAGAGAAAAAAAUCUUUUUGGCAUUUUCGUUAUAUAAAAUGUAUAGAACUUCUACCAUUUUUGCAUUUUGCUUUUAUUAGAAAAAAACUCCUAAAACAAUACUUUUUUUUUUUGGAUUUUUUUUGAAUUAUGAAUGCAUUCUAAAGGAGAUAAAGGGAAAAUCUUUUUUUUUGUUUGUUUUUGAGUAAAUGCGUGAAAAAGGUAAGAAAAUCUUUUUGAAUUUUUGAAUUGUGAAAAAUAAAAGUCAUAAAGAAAUCUAAAAAACCUACGAAACUCUUUUUGAUUCACCUUUUUUAUUUUUCCUUUUUUUUUUUUUUAAUUUUUCCAUGCCUAGACAUCUUUCUUUAAUUCUAGCCCAUGUUUUUUCCCAAAUCAGUCCGUCAAAUGACCGCGUUACCCUCAGAGAUGCAACAUUUAGCAUGUAGGGAUGCUUUAAAGGUGAGUCUCCUACAAAGGACCAAGUGGGCCCCACUAGGUCUCAAUAUGAUGCACAUAAGCAUGACCUAAAGGCUGACCUACAUUGUGGUUUACUAACAAAGCCGUUCGGGGGAGCAUAUGGUCGAUAGUGGCUGCUUUGCUUUCCACCUAUUCCAUACAUCCAACGGCUCCCCCCUAAAAUAAGGGUAACUCAACUAGAGUUCGUGCGCACGACGUGCACUCCGGGACUUAUUGCAAAAAGAAUUGACUCGGGUUAUGCAAAUAAUGUCAGAUAUAAAGCGGUAAUACAUAAAGAAAAACUGUAAACAAAGAGCACAGAAACGCGCAACAGUGAUAACAAUAACACAAACAAUAAUCACAAACAAUGUUUAUACAUCCAUAAUGCCACACAAAGCCAUACGACUAAAAAAAAUAAGCUUAAAUUCUGAAAAAUCCCCAGCAGAGUCACCAGAGCUGUCACACCCCUUUUUACACUCCAAAAAAAAGAUUCAUUUUAAGUUUGAAAGAGUUUUGUUAUUAAGGUGACAAAAAAUUGAAGGUUGUUUCGAAAAAUAAUUAUUUACAUUUUUAUUCAGAGUCACCACUUGGCAUAAUCCGGUGUGCCAAGUCACCUUUAAAAGAUCUUUUUUAAAAUGAUUUGACUCUUAAACUGAUUUGCGAACAGAGAUUCCGACUAAGGAAUUCUGUUGACCGCGGGGAAGGUGUUAAGUAACUUUCGGUCCCGUGGUUUGACAACGGUCGCUUGGUGGAGGGUAUCAACUAAUUUGGCACUUCGAUGUACAAACCACACAAAAACAUGUAAAACAAUCAAUCAAACAAAUAAACAAACAAAACAAAGGGGAUCCAAAAUAUAGUGUCCAGUCCGAGUUAUACAGUCCCAAAAUAGAAAAAUACAAAAAUGUAAAUCCUAUUCUAAACUAAUCCUAAACUAAGCUCUAAUGCCUCACCCGAUGCCUCGGGCCUUCCUCGCGAACAUCUUCCAAGUACAAAAUACUUCGGGGCAUUCCCCAGAUAAAUCAAUACAAAUCCCUCGAGGCAUCCCCCGGCCAAAUAAAUACAUUUUUAGUGCGGGAAAAUAAAACUAUUCAACAAAAUUUCAAAUAUUCCAUAGAAUUUCCAACAUUCAACCGAAGCCACAAAUUCUAAACUUUGCCUACCCAAACUAUGUUUGCCUAAACCAAUCGACGUAUCAAGAUACUACCAAGUUCGAUUAAUGUUCAUUUCAAGUCAAACAACCAAUGAAUCAAACUAACCAAAAUUCAGCAAUUAUGUCAAGUUUUUAAUUCUCACCCCACCCCACUCAAAUUAAUUCACGAUUCAAAACAACUAAAGAUUCACCACCAACACAGAUCAAGCAAGACAUAACGGCAAUUUGAUGCAUCCGAAUAUAAUGAAUAAUGAACUAAUAGAAAGAGGAAAUAGGAUUGGACCUCAAUUCGAAGAUUUCAAAAUUCAAUAAUACUUCAAUGAAAGGAUAGAAUCCGCGUCCGAAAACCUCGAAAUGAACCUUAACAGUGACGAACUCCAACUCUGAUAUUAAGGAAUUUGAAACCAAAAAUUGGUUGAGACGCGCGAAUACUAAACCCAAAAAAGGAACAAAAAAUGAUGAAUCCCCCGAAGCCCGAUUCUGGCGACGAAACACAAAGUCAGACAAACCCAGAAACCCCAAUACACAAUAGAACCAAAGAACAGUAUAGCCUGAGCUUCGGUAAGCUCGGACAACGGCAAAACGAUGAGAAAGGGAGGAUUCCGGUGAGUUUCAACAUAUUCAAGCCGGAUUUACUUGAAAGUCAAAAGAAACAAUGAGAUUUUUGGUGAUUUCAAACUAGUCGGUCAAGUCGACGAAUGAUGAUCGACUACCGACAAAGAUCUCGCCGAACUUGGCCAGUACAGAACCUGAGGUGGGGCUUCUGGUGAGCGAACAGUCGCCAAAAUAGUGUUCUCCGCCCUAUUCUCCUUUUCUCUCUCUCUCGUUCAGCUGCUCUCUCCCAUCUCUCCCUCGCAACUCUCUCUCUUUGUGUGUUUACCAAUUCAGUGAGGUGAAACAGUGAGUGUUGCGUGUGUAUUUUCUGAGAGUGUGCAUGUGCGUGUUACUGGUAAGAAUGAGAAUAGCAGAGGGAUCCCUUUUUUGAAGAAGAAGAAGAAGAAAAUGGGUCCUCCCUUUUUGAGUGAUAUCCCCUGUGUAUGGUGAUGGAGGAUUUUUUCCUUCUUGUGAGUGAAUUCCUUGGUCAAGAAGAAGAAGUUUUUUCUUCUCCUUUGAUCCUUAUCCGUGGGCCCUUCUCCCUUUACUUUUUGUGCUCUCUCUCUUCUGUAUAUGUGUAAGGACUAUAUAUAUAUAUAUAUAUAUAUGGAAAUGGUCCAGUCCCUCUGUAGGUGUGUGGAAUGGAAAAAGCAAAGAAAAAAUUAUGAUUUCUUGCA
This 3962-nucleotide long non-coding RNA is filed under the name Capsicum annuum. RNAcentral describes it as "long non-coding RNA (CANN_LNC016428)". Lineage: Eukaryota; Viridiplantae; Streptophyta; Magnoliopsida; Solanales; Solanaceae. The record is from RNAcentral.